RNAcentral lists this long non-coding RNA (2534 nucleotides) under Olea europaea subsp. europaea. Lineage: Eukaryota; Viridiplantae; Streptophyta; Magnoliopsida; Lamiales; Oleaceae. The record is from RNAcentral.
ACCGACUCCAGCUUGCCUCUCCUCUCACAGUUGCCUAUCGCGGCCUCGCCUCUCUGCUCCAACCGGACAGGCGAUUGCAAUGGCCACUCCCUUAGGUAGUUAGGCUGCUUUUCUUCUUCUUCUCUUCCCUUCACUUGUUCAUAAAUCAAAACGUGCCGACCCUUUUUUCAACCCUAACUGCUUUGUUGCCAUGCCGCGUCCACCAUCUGCGCAACAGUGCGUCACUCCGGCCAUCGACCUACUCCCAGUAAAGGAGAAGUAAAGAUUGCUUGUCUAGCUUCUCCAACUCUCUUUAAAUCUACAGAAUCGAAAAGGAAAAAAGCAAAAAUGUUGAUGUCCAAAGUGAAAUAUGAGGCCUUACGCGAGCAAAGAUUGGAAGAGAACAGGAAAAGACUUCUAUAGUCCUCAAAAACUCCUCUUAUCCCAAACCCACACUAGUAUCUCUCUUUCGUGGUCUUAUUUGACUUACAAAGUACUGUGGCUCUCCUUUUAGGCCUUUUUCUAACUCUGCCAGAUGGUAAACUCCUUGCAAAUGGUUUUUAAAAAUUUCUAGCACAUUAAUUUAAUUUGUUAACAAUGUAAUUAUUGUGUAGAACAGUGUUCUUUAUUGGGUUAAUGCAUUUGUAGAGUUACCAAUUGGAUCCGGAACCUCUCGAAUCUUGCAUAUGCAUAAGAUGAAGAUAGAGAAUGUGCUAUAAAGAAAGCAGAGGAGCUUGAGUCAAGCCUAAAGUCUGAUUAUCCAUGUCGCUGGUGGUUUUUGGCUGGUGAGCAUCAGUAGAUUACUUAACUCUAUUUUUCACAGUGAACGUUGCUUCAAAUAUAUUCCCUUUGGAUUAGGCUGCAGAAGAAGAGUAUAUUAUUGAUCCAUUAUUUUGACUUGCCUAAUAAUUUCAAACAAGGUACCAUGUGUUGGGAAAACUAGACAAGUCACUUACUCUGUAUUGAAUCAUUUGGUUGAGUGUCAUCAUUUUCUUGAGAAGAUUGGUUUGUUGGAAGAAAAAGAGAUGACCACCUUCAUGAUGCUGUCCAGGUAAAUGUGUUUGUCAUUUACUUUAAUGUUCUUCAUUUUGAUGCUAUCAUUUCAUAUUUAUACUACUAAAAUUUAAACUUUGAUGUAGAGUGACUUAAAAAAGCUCUUUAAGAAACCCCCUCUGGUGAAAAUUGUGUGCUUUUUGGAUUUAAGCGCAAUCUAAAAUCUCAAAGUGUUUUGCAUAAAUUAUAUAUUAGGACUAAUUUUUUUGUGCUGAUUUUUUCUCUUCAAGUGGUUUUGGGGCUUCAUAGCUAAAGGAAAUCUGUUUUUGGUGUAAGGUUCCUUUCUCUUUCUCUUCCUAUCUCUCUAUUUGCAUCUAUUUAUAAAAUGGCCUCUAUUUCAUUUUCGACACUGCAAAUGCCCAUAAAAUGGUGCUAUUUGUUCCACUGGUGUUUUGGAAAUCUGGUGCAAACUAUCAGUUUAUUUUUGAAUUUGAAUCUUUAAGCCACUGCUUCAGCAAUAGCCACUGGUACUUUUUUUUUAAAAAACUUUAUUUAAUCUUCAAAUGUGCAGUGGAUUAUUGUUCUCAGAUAAUAUUUGGAAAAGGAGCUUGUAAAUGCACCUGCUAAUAUGCUCACCAUUGGUUAGUAAUCUUUCACACUUCUGCAUCUUUUUCCUAUAUUUGAUUUAACCAUUUUUUUUAGACUUACUACUGGAGUUGGUUACUUUAUCAAGCUUUAGUAUACAUCAUAUUAAUUAAAACCACAUCAUAGAUAAUUUAGAAUGGAAUGGACCACCCUUCUAAAUAUAUGCCAUGUACACAGAUAUGAUUACUGUUUCUAUUGGAUUUCGUAUACUAGGCAUGUCAAGUUGUGAACAAAUCCAGAAAUGAAUGAGAUGUUCUGCACUAGCUAUCAGAUUAAAAUGAUGGCAGCUUUGGCCAGACAUAUUUGAAACCUUGUGUUGGACAUCAUUUGGAUAUGCAGCUAAUCACCGGAAGGUGUUUCAAAACUUACUUAACAUGCUUCAAACUUUAUUUAUAGGGUGAUUUCUAGUCUUGCUAAAAAACUAACGUUUGGCUGGAUUUUGUGUUUAAAUUUAAUUUUCUAGAAUUUGUUAUAGUCCACAUUAAGGUUGGCACAUAAGAUCAGACUGAUGUUGUUACUAUUAUUUAUUUAUCUCUGUUGUCAAUGCAAUAGGUAAUGUUUAUGUAAGAUAUCAUUUCUUUAUUGAUCUCAUUACAUGUUUUUUUAAUGCUUAUACAGAUGCAACCAAAAAGAAAGUCGAAGCACGUGUCACCUGCUAUUCCUCCAAACUCAUGCAAUGGAAGUCCAUCUCAUUGUGGGCAAGGACAACACUCUAAUAAAUUACACAUUCCUAUGUCAACACUUUCUACAGCUCAAUUUGAUGCAAAUAGGACAACUUAAUCAAGUGUUGGAAGUUAUAAUUCAUCUUUUUGUGGUUAAAUAUUAGUCAUUUAGGGUUAUUAAUAAUUGAAAUAUGUGCGAUACAAUUUUACUUCUAUGGUGAUACGUUUCUUUUCAAAUUUUUUUUUUUUAUUAUC